RNAcentral lists this ribosomal RNA (498 nucleotides) under uncultured bacterium. Its description in RNAcentral is "partial 16S ribosomal RNA". It matches the Rfam family "Bacterial small subunit ribosomal RNA", at positions 28 to 508 of the family's 1533-position model. The record is from RNAcentral.
GAUGAACGCUGGCGGCGUGCCUAAUACAUGCAAGUCGAGCGAACAGACGCGGAGCUUGCUCCUCUGACGUUAGCGGCGGACGGGUGAGUAACACGUGGAUACCCUACCUAUAAGACUGGGAUAACUUCGGGAAACCGGAGCUAAUACCGGAUAAUAUAUUGAACCGCAUGGUUCAAUAGUGAAAGACGGCUUUGCUGUCACUUAUCGCUGGAUCCGCGCCGGAUUGGCUAGUUGGUAAGGUAACGGCGUAUCAAGGCAACGAUGCGUAGGCGCACUGCGAGGGUGGUCGGCCACACUGGGACUGGGACACGGUCCAGACGCCUACGGGAGGCAGCAGUAGGGAAACGGCCGCAAGGGGCGAAAGCUUGACGGAGCUACGCCGCGGGAGGGAUGAAGGUCGUCGGGUCGGAAAACUCUGUUAUUAGGGAAGAACAAAUGUGUAAGUAACUAUGCACGUCUUGGCGGUAACUGAGCAGAAAGCCACGGCUAACUACGUGC